This 373-nucleotide unclassified non-coding RNA is filed under the name uncultured Terriglobales bacterium. RNAcentral's name for it is "uncultured Acidobacteriales bacterium contains 16S-23S intergenic spacer region". The record is from RNAcentral. Lineage: Bacteria; Pseudomonadati; Acidobacteriota; Terriglobia; Terriglobales.
UCACCGCUUACGCGGGCAGUCUCAUUAGAGUCCUCAGCAUUACCUGCUAGCAACUAACGAUAGGGGUUGCGCUCGUUGCGGGACUUAACCCAACAUCUCACGACACGAGCUGACGACGGCCAUGCAGCACCUAGUUUCGUGCCAUUGCUGGCUGACAUAUUUCUACGUCAUUCACUAACGUUCAAGCCCUGGUAAGGUUCCGCGCGUAUCAUCGAAUUAAACCACAUGCUCCUCCGCUUGUGCGGGCCCCCGUCAAUUCCUUUGAGUUUCAGCCUUGCGGCCGUACUCCCCAGGUGGAUCACUUAAUGCUUUCGCUUAGACGCGUACAGUGUAUCGCACACAUCGAGUGAUCAUCGUUUAGGGCGUGGACUAC